Molecule: ribosomal RNA, 515 nt
Filed under: uncultured bacterium
Lineage: Bacteria
Description: partial 16S ribosomal RNA
Rfam family: Bacterial small subunit ribosomal RNA
Source: RNAcentral
GGUGAGCGCUGGCGGCGUGCCUAAUACAUGCAAGUCGAGCGAAUGGAUUAAGAGCUUGCUCUUAUGAAGUUAGCGGCGGACGGGUGAGUAACACGUGAGUAACCUGCCCAUAAGACUGGGAUAACUCCGGGUAACCGGGGCUAAUACCGGAUAACAUUUUGAACCGCAUGGUUCGAAAUUGAAAGGCGGCUUCGGCUGUCACCUAUGGAUGGACCCGCGUCGCAUUAGCUAGUUGGUGAGGUAACGGCUCACCAAGGCAACGAUGCGUAGCCGACCUGAGAGGGUGAUCGGCCACACUGGGACUGAGACACGGCCCAGACUCCUACGGGAGGUAGCAGUAGGGAAUCUUCCGCAAUGGACGAAAGUCUGACGGAGCAACGCCGCGUGAGUGAUGAAGGCUUUCGGGUCGUAAAACUCUGUUGUUAGGGAAGAACAAGUGCUAGUUGAAUAAGCUGGCACCUUGACGGUACCUAACCAGAAAGCCACGGCUAGCUACGUGCCAGCCGCCGCAGUAA